This is a long non-coding RNA of Quercus lobata, 294 nucleotides long. RefSeq lists it as uncharacterized. NCBI's taxonomy places the organism in Eukaryota, Viridiplantae, Streptophyta, Magnoliopsida, Fagales, Fagaceae. The record is from RefSeq and is a predicted model, not a curated record. The transcript is spliced from 3 exons.
AAAUGAAAGAUAUGGCUGCUGCCAGGAAGAGAUGGGAAGCUCUGGUGUUUUGAAUCCCAAAGUAACAGCAUUUAUGUCAUUCUUUUGGGCCUGGAGUAGAUGGGUCAGGGAAGAAAAAGUGAAAGUUCCUACACCUGGGGAAGCUGGGUAUGCAAUUCAGCUAUCUAACAAAACCCCACUUGAUGUUCAUCCCUCUACUGAACACAAAAUGGUGGACAGGAUCUUAUGACUUAUCAGAGAAGGUCCUCAACCUUUUAAACUUUGUGGAAUUGGUAGGGGCUUUGAAUUUCUUAG